GAUGAACGCUGGCGGCGUGCCUAAUACAUGCAAGUCGAGCGAACAGACGAGGAGCUUGCUCCUCUGACGUUAGCGGCGGACGGGUGAGUAACACGUGGAUAACCUACCUAUAAGACUGGGAUAACUUCGGGAAACCGGAGCUAAUACCGGAUAAUAUAUUGAACCGCAUGGUUCAAUAGUGAAAGACGGUUUUGCUGUCACUUAUAGAUGGAUCCGCGCCGCAUUAGCUAGUUGGUAAGGUAACGGCUUACCAAGGCAACGAUGCGUAGCCGACCUGAGAGGGUGAUCGGCCACACUGGAACUGAGACACGGUCCAGACUCCUACGGGAGGCAGCAGUAGGGAAUCUUCCGCAAUGGGCGAAAGCCUGACGGAGCAACGCCGCGUGAGUGAUGAAGGUCCUCGGAUCGUAAAACUCUGUUACUAGGGAAGAACAAAUGUGUAAGUAACUAUGCACGUCUUGACGGUACCUAAUCAGAAAGCCACGGCUAACUACGUG
Molecule: ribosomal RNA, 497 nt
Filed under: uncultured bacterium
Lineage: Bacteria
Description: partial 16S ribosomal RNA
Rfam family: Bacterial small subunit ribosomal RNA
Source: RNAcentral